This is a long non-coding RNA of Ictalurus punctatus (channel catfish), 3366 nucleotides long. NCBI's taxonomy places the organism in Eukaryota, Metazoa, Chordata, Actinopteri, Siluriformes, Ictaluridae. The record is from Ensembl.
CUUUGCAAUAGUGUGGCUUAUUAUGUAUGACGCACUUAUGGUGAAGUGAAAACAGUAACACAGGGAGCUUUAUGAGCUUAACUACAUUCUGUACUCAGGACUGGGGGGUUGGGGGGGGGGGGGGGGGGGGAUGGGAUGUGAUGUCCUUGACAUGCUUACACAAGUCACAUGUCUGUGUGCCUUGAAGCAAAGCUGUGUACAACUCAUAAAUGUGGCUGACCGUUACUCUGCCACAACCAAAGGGGCACUUUGCACUCUGUAGGGAUUGUAUUUCAAUAAAUUUAUUUGGAGAUUCCACAAUUAUUGGUAUUUAUAUACUGCAUCAUGCCCCAUUUCUGAGAAGAAUCAAAUGCUAUACUCUUACCCUAGAUUUUAAAAAAUAAAUUUUAACCUACAUUCAAGCCUAUGGUGAGUUAAUAAAAAACAAUAAUCAAAAUUGACAUAAAGAACUGUUCAGUGUUAAUUUUGUUCAUUCAGUCAUCUUCUUUAACAGCGCCAUCCUGCUCAGGGCCGCAGUGAAUCCAGAGUCUAUCCUGGGAACACUGGUGUGAAGGGGGAAAACAUGCAGCAGAUGAACCGAGUUUCUGAGUGGUCCUCCCUGCUGUAGCACUGCAAGACAGAUGAAGCAGGACAUGAGAGGAGUGCAGACGAGAUCCAUCAGCAGGGCUGAAUGGGUUUGACCCGGCGAGGUGAGCCUCAGUCAUUAAUACAGAGGCACACACGUGUGGGGGAGGAGACGAAUCUCCCUGCAGCACUUCACUGCAUCCCAGCUUUCAGUCCUGCAACAGAGCUGCUCAAUCUCAUCACAUAUUUUCAUCUGUUAUUCAAGUAAACUAUAGGCUAUUAUUAUGGAAAGCAUUUUCUUGCUAGUCCUAUGCCUGAAUUAUCUGUGCUUGGAUUCCUUUUUACAAUGGAAGUAAGUCCAAAUUGGUUUUUGGCUGGGAUUUCUGUCUGAUACCCAGAUAAGAUUCUUGGCAUCAUUGCGAACAGCUCAGUUAUAAAGUUCCAGUCAUAUAGAGGGCCUUGUAAUAAAUAGCACUACAUGAUUUGAAACCUAUAGAUGAGUUCGUUGAAAGAUAUUGCAGAUAAUUAUUGGCAAAUGGGUCAGAAAAGCAACCUGAGGACAUUUUUAUGAUCAUUCAAUGUACUGGCAACCCAUCUGGGGUGAAUUGUCUCACCUUGCUCCCAGUGUUACCAGGAUAGACUCCGGAUCCAUCACAACCCUGAGCAGGAUUACUGAAAGUGAGUAAGGUCUAGCAGUUGAGAUCGAACUCGUUCAAAAUGCUAAAUGUUCUAGGUACCUUCAAAAUUAAAACAUUUAUACAUCCUUCAAACCAUUUGUGUAUUCCAGUAACCUAAGUUUACAUGGCUGAGGCAUAUUUUUGUACACAAUAUAUGUAAGGAAUAAAAUAUGAUGGCGUGUGCUGUUAUUGGAAAAUAAUUAAUGCGAAGUUGGUGUGAUUAUAAGUGCUUUAUUCCGCUUAUGCCAUAGCAAUAUGCCAACAAUUACAACAUUUCUUUCUUUAUUAUAUUAUUUAUUUACUAUUUAUUAUAAUGAAUGAUGCAUGGUACUUUUGAUCCAAUUAUAGUUACAUAUAAUGUUGUAGAAUGUUCAUAACUUAUGUUAUAACAGCCAUAAACAGCUGUUCCUUCACCAUUCUUUGUAUUUUCUCGCUCUCUUAACAUGAAUAAGACAAAAACAAACAAACAAACAAACAACAACAAAAACCACACAGCUGGUCAUGUUGCAGAGAAACUGGAAAUUCACAAAGUCCUCUGUCUUGAAAACUCUUCCAUGGUUUAAGACAUUCUGACUGUUACAAAGCCCUGAUACUAGAGAUUCCUUCCAUAAAUGAUAAAUCAGCAUCAUACAGAAAAAUCCAUCAUAUCAAUGAGUAUAUAUUUAUCUUUGGUAAUGUUUGUAACAGAACAUUUUUAAUCCAUUGAUUAUAAAACCUAUAUUUAACAAAGAUUUUUUUUUUGAUAAACUUGUGUUGUGUUUUUCAAUUGUUUGAUAUCCAUGAGAGCAGAGUAUUUUUGUGAAUUUUUUUUUUAACAAAAGAUCAAAAGGUUACACAAUAAAGACAAUUUUUCCACAGCCUUCUUUGCUUAUAUUUACCAAGGGUGCCAAUAUUAAUGGAGGGUUAUCCAAUAACAAAAAAGUUAUUCAGUACCAACUGGGCCUGUGUGAAAAUGUAUUUGCCCUCGUAUCUACUAAUUCCCCAAAUCUAUGAAACUGCAUUCAUAAUGGGGUUCAGCUGGACUAGACACAACCAGGUCUGAUUACUGCAAACCCUGUUCAAUCAAAUCAACACUUAAAUAGAACUUUUUCAACAGCUUGAAGUUGGUUAAAAGGUCUUGCAUAUGCAUAUGAAGUAAUACACAGUAAUACACAGUAAUACACUAUGGAAGAAGGUGAUUGAAAAACAGUCUGGGAAGGGUUACAAAACUAUUUCAAAGUUUCUGGGACUCCAAAGAACCACAGUAAGCGCCAUUACCGCCAAAUAGAAAAACGGCACAGUAGGGAACCUUCCCAGAAGUGGCUGACCUUCCAAAAUUCCUCCAAGAGCACAGCAACUAUGCAUCCAGCAAGUCACAAAACAGACAAGGACAACAUCAAAGGACUUUCAGGCCUCUCUUGCAUCAAUAAAGGUCACUGUUCAUGACUCCACUAUCAGAAAGACACUGGGCAAAAAUGGCAUCCAUGGCAGAGUGGCAAGGUGAAAACCACUGAUAACCCAGAAGAACAUUAAGGCUUGUCUGAAUUUUGCCAAAACACACCUUGAUGAUCGUCAAACCUUUUGGGAGAAUGAUCUGUGGACUGAUGAGUUGAAAGUGAAACUGUUUAGAACAGUUCCACUGUCCUGUUACAUCUGGCAUAAACCAAACACAGAAUUCCACAAAAAGAACAUCAUACCUACAGUCAAGCAUGGUGGUGGCAGUGUGAUGAUAUGGGGAUGCUUUUCUGCUUCAAUACUUAGAACCUUGCAAUAAUUGAAGGGAAACAUGAAUUCUGCUCUCUACCAGAAAAUCCUAAAGGAGAAUGCCCGGUCUUCAGUCCAUAAACUCAAACUCAAGCGCAACUGUAAUAUUUAGCAAGACAAUGAUCCAAAGCAUAUGAGUAAGUACUAGUGCUAGAAGAACGUGAAAGACUGAUCUCCAGCUAUCGGAAGUGUUUGGUUGCAGUUAUUACUGCUAAAGGUGGCACAAGCAGAUUUGAAGUUUAAGGGGGCUAUUAGUUUUUCACAAGGGUGAUAGGUGUUGGAUAACUUUUUUUUUUUUGCUUUGAUAAAAUGAAUAAAUAAACGAAUAAAUAAAUAAAUAUUGUAUUUUGUGUUUACUCAGAUUGCUUUUGUUAUACGUUGC